GAUGAAGAACGCAGCGAAAUGCGAUAAGUAGUGUGAAUUGCAGAAUUCAGUGAAUCAUCGAAUCUUUGAACGCACAUUGCGCCCCUUGGUAUUCCAUGGGGCAUGCCUGUUCGAGCGUCAUUUGUACCUUCAAGCUUUGCUUGGUGUUGGGUGUUUGUUCCGCCUCUGUGUGUGAACUCGCCUCAAAACAAUUGGCAGCCGGCGUACUUGUUUCGGAGCGCAGCACAUUUUGCGAUCCAGAUCAACGUACAGCGGCAUCCAAGAAGCCUUAUUUAACGCUCUUGACCUCGGAUCAGGUAGGGAUACCCGCUGAACUUAAGCAUAUCAAUAAGCGGAGGA
This 339-nucleotide unclassified non-coding RNA is filed under the name soil metagenome. RNAcentral's name for it is "partial contains 5.8S ribosomal RNA, internal transcribed spacer 2, and large subunit ribosomal RNA". The stretch from base 1 to 120 matches the Rfam family "5.8S ribosomal RNA", at positions 35 to 154 of the family's 154-position model. The record is from RNAcentral.